RNAcentral lists this ribosomal RNA (500 nucleotides) under uncultured bacterium. RNAcentral describes it as "bacterial SSU rRNA". It matches the Rfam family "Bacterial small subunit ribosomal RNA", at positions 355 to 871 of the family's 1533-position model. The record is from RNAcentral. RNAcentral also lists the same sequence under 1 other name.
UGGGGAAUAUUGGACAAUGGGCGAAAGCCUGAUCCAGCAAUGCCGCGUGAGUGAUGAAGGCCUUAGGGUUGUAAAGCUCUUUUACCCGAGAUGAUAAUGACAGUAUCGGGAGAAUAAGCUCCGGCUAACUCCGUGCCAGCAGCCGCGGUAAUACGGAGGGAGCUAGCGUUGUUCGGAAUUACUGGGCGUAAAGAGCGCGCAGGCGGUCGUUCAAGUCGCGUGUGAAAGCCCCCGGCUCAACUGGGGAGGGUCACGCGAUACUGAUCGACUCGAAGGCAGGAGAGGGUAGUGGAAUUCCCGGUGUAGUGGUGAAAUGCGUAGAUAUCGGGAGGAACACCAGUGGCGAAGGCGACUACCUGGCCUGUUCUUGACGCUGAGGCGCGAAAGCUAGGGGAGCAAACGGGAUUAGAUACCCCGGUAGUCCUAGCCGUAAACGAUGGACACUAGGUGUUGGUGGUAUCAACCCCGCCAGUGCCGAAGCUAACGCAUUAAGUGUCCCG